AAAAAUGGUUUAGGAAGCAGACAUUCACUUCUCCGUUCUAACCUUACCUCCCAGAAGCAAAAUGCUUCCUUUCUUUCUACUCUACGCGUUUUUUCCUGUCCCGGUUGGAGCCUCUCUCGUCAUCCUCCCACCCCCAUUUUUCAUUUUUCGUCUUUAGCUGUAGGCUUUGUAGCUCCCGUCUUCAGCGGGAGUUGCUCACAAGAAAUAAGACUCUACCCAGUGGUGGUUUCCUGCCCAGGUAAGGCAGCGGCCCCGCUGGGCGCUGAUUUGGUAGCACCCCAUCGUCCUGCCAGGAAUUUUUCCAAAGAGGGGAGAUUGUGCAACUCCUUUUACUGUAUCUUAAAUGCUGUGACAGCAUUGGAACCAGAUGAACGACUUAAGUUCUCAGGCAUUUAAAAUAAAUCUGCUCAUUGAACUAGUUCUCUCUUAUUCGACGUUUCCUUUGACUACUGUGAGGCCCCGUUCCCCAGCGUCUGGGUAACUCCACUAAUUUUGAGUUGUAUCCUGCAAAGGACCUUGAUGUUUCUCAGACUCAGAAGUAACUGACAAGAUGAUUUCAGUUUUCGAAGUGCCCACUUUUAAUUUAACAGUCUUUAUUUUUUUGAGUUCCAAAGUAGUACAGCCAUGUAGGAAUUAGGAAACACCAACUUAUCAUGGUGUUGUUGUAUUGUUUAACACAUUUAAAAGUUUUAAGAAGUCCUAACCUAAGCCUAAGGAUACUUUCAUUUGAAACGCUCCGCUCCAAGUGUUUUUAUAUCUUGUGUCCUUGUACCAAAAUGUAAUGUUCAGUCUCCUUCCUCAUGUCAAUGUUCAGAUCAGCCUCAUCUUCAAUUUUGGAAAUCUUUUUUCCCUCUGUGCUUUUUGGUUUAAGUGAUAAACAACAAAAUGGGGACAGCAACAAGAUUCUCCAUAACACAGAGACCUAGUAGGCAGAUAGAUUCCUUUAUACACAAAGUUGCUGUGCAGUUUUCACAUAUGUAAUACUGGUGAGUAACUAUAAGCUGGUAACUGAGAAUGUGUGCUGGUACACACGCACACUUAAAAUUAGUGCUGAAAAGUUUGUUGAAGAGAUUAUCAUGUUUUAGUAGUUCAAGUGGCAAGAAAUCUAGCUGAGGAGAGUAGUCAGUGUGGGAGUUAAUAUAGACCUGAGGUGUUGGAAACGCCUAAAAUAGCGAAGCUUUUUCAAAAUUAGAUGACAAGAUUCCUGAUAAUCAGGCAUUCUCUGGGCACUUCCAUAAAGGAAGUGGGGUGUUUCUUCUCUAAGCUUGUCCAACACAAUGUUUUAAGAGUAAAUGAAUGAAAAUUAUAAUUUGAAGGACUUUGGUGUUUUUGUUUUUAUUUCUAGUUUUGUAAGACUGUUCUGUAGAUAUUUGACAUGUAGAUUUCAUUGCUGUGUUUAAUAUUUUAAGAAAAAUACUAACCAGACUUUUGAAUUAAAGUAACUGGUUAAGUGAAAUUCUUACACUCUUUGCACUUUAGUUAUCUAAAUAUUCUUUUAAUCUUUUGGGAGGAGGAUAUUUAGUAUGGAAUCAGAAAUAGAAUUUAAAGGUGACAUUUUUAAACUAAUAUUUAAAUCUUGUUACUUUUUCUGCCACCUUUUUGGUAAUUUAUAAAAAUAUGCUUUUAAUACUUCUAAACUCUUGGCAUUUCCAUUAUUGAUUGCAGAUCUAAGGAAGGGAAGCUGUUAAGACUUAUGUAGUAUUACUUUGCAUAUGCUUGGCUCAGUUUGACAAUACAUUCAUUAAUUUGUUGUAAGUUUGAGGUAUUUUGCUAUUAACAUUUCACAGAUAAGUAAAAUAAGGUUUCAAAAGCUUUAAGUAAUUCACCCAAGGACACCAAAGAACGAAGUGGUAUUUAAUCCUGAGUUUGCCUGAUUCCAAAGUUGAUGCUCUUAUGACUUUAUACUCUCUUAAACAUUUGACGAUAGGGACCCUCUUCUUUAUCUCUUUGUUUUUAAUUUGCUUCACAACUUAUUUUGAAAAAGGACAAACAAUAGUUCUUUUUGUUUUUAAUAAAAGUUGUAAAUGCUAAACAUUAAAUAGUGUUGGACUCUAAAUUUAAUUUGUGUUUUAAUCGUUUUAGAACAAAGUUUAUUGUUUAACACAUUUAAAAGUUUUAUAUUACUGGUAUAGCAUUUUAGAAAUUAAUCUGGAAUUAAGUCUUUGCUUUUUUAAAUCAUGUAAAGUUGUUUUGAGGAUAUGUCUAUGAAAUUGAAUAACUGUACCUUUGGCCACUGGGCUAAUAAGAAAUAAGGUAUCUGAAGAAGCGCAAUAAUGUCCUUUAAAGUUGUUCAUUUGCAGUAGUGUGUCCCACACUGUUUUGCAUAGAAAAACUCUAAGCCAGAAACAGUUAUGUUUUCCAUUCCUGGGUCAAGUGUAUUGUAUAGUUAAGCAUUUUUGUCAAUUUGAAAUUAUGUGAAAUUGUGGCUCAAAUGAGAAGAACCAUUCCCAAACCCCUCUCCAGGUGAGAAAAUCCAGGAAGUCACUGCAAGCUCCAGAAGAAAGAUAGUUAUUGGUUGAAAUGGAUCUUUUUUUCCUUUCUUUCUGUAAACUGUCCUACCUUCCCCAAAUGAUUAGACUGAUUGAUCCUGAGGCUCCCAUAGAUUCAGCUUUUAUAUCUUUUGUUCAUGUGUCUCAAGUACACAACUCAGCCCUAACUGCUCUCCUGAGCACUGGUCACACAUUUUUAUCUGCUAGUCCUGUUCACCGGAGACAGUUAAUGAGAUGUGUUUAAAUGGAAACUGCCUAAAAGUAAAUUUAUAAACUCCCCUCUCCAUUCCCUCUACACAAAAGGUGGCAGAAAUGUAUCUCCUGCUCGUUUUUUUCUUUAUUUCUCUAUUCCCAUUAUUCCAGUCAUCCAGGUUUUUUACUUCAGCUUUUUAUCUUUGUUUUCUGUAUCUUACAAUCAGUUCCUAAAUCUUGGCAUGCCCCUCAUCAAAAUGUCUUAUACAAAUAAUUUAUCUCCUGCUUGAAAACCUUAUUUAUUUAUAUUAGUAUUUGGUUUAUUAUCUCUCAGUUGACCAGACUAUUAAAUUAACUAUUGCUAUUUAUGUUAUUAACUACUGUUGUUUAGUAACAAAAUUUUACUGUACAAACAGAAUGCAAGUUGAUUGUACCUGUUCUAUGGAAGAAGAAAUAAAGCCAAGGGAGGGAGGGUAGGGUUAGAAGAAUGUCUUAUAUCUAGUCUUUCUCUUCUGUUAUUUUUAACUGUUAAGCACUUAUUAUAAACUUUCUAAACUAAUCCCUCUAAUUUCCUGUAUCUAAGCCAUGUUUUAAUAUGUCAUUUUUCUGCUCCCAAACUUUUAGUUUCUGGAUCCUCCAUUGCCUUUACAAGGAAGCCAAACUCCUGAAAAUGGGAUACUUCACUUUUAAGAAAAAAAUUAGGAGUGUUAGUGGGCUGAGAAGAAUGAUUCAGAGGAGAGAGAAAUAGAAAAUCUUAUUUUACUUAGAGCUGCUUUGGUGAGGACUCUACUUGCUGCUAAAGAAUCAAAGUUUUCUUCAGACAGUUUUAAAAUCUCCUGGAACUAAAGUUUUACCUUAGUGUUUGUAAAAAAAAUCUUGCCAGUUUAGUGUCCAGCAAAAGCAUCAGAAAAAUCUGGAGAAGCCAUGGACACAGCUGGCAACAUAAAGUAGCACCGCCAGAUGCUCACCUCUUCCAGUAAUAGACACAUCUUAAAGCGGCAACAUAAGCCUAAUCACAUCUGCCCGUGGCAUUUCACCGUGAAGCUUGGCUGAGAAAGGUGCAUGCUGUAGCACUAAUGCAGAGCGACAGAAUCAAGGACUUCAAGGCAGAAAGCUACAUGUGGAGUUCGUGUGCAUCUGGCCUUUCUUCCCUGAGAAAUUUUUCAGUCUUACUCAGCAGUGUAGGGUUAAGAUAAGGUUGUACAUUUUCAAAUUCUGUAGUCCGGGUAACAUAGGAUAGUAAAAACUUCAUAUGCUGUACUAACUGUUCUUUCUGGGGGUCACCCAAGAACAAUUCAAUACUCUAUUGAUGUUUGUCUGGAUCAUCAAUGUAUGCCAUAAUGAUACCAAGGAUUUUGAUCACAGUUUCUUAUGCCAAAUGUACUUUAUCUUCCAUUUAUGUCGGUUGCAACACUGAAAGAACGGAGGAGUUGGAACUUCAGAAAAAUAAGGCCCACUGCUCCACAGAAUUUAGCCCCAAGUAGUUGUCUUUCUGGGUAUUAAGACUAAUAUCUUCCCAUCAGUGUGAUAAAAGUUUGGCUGCUUUAAAUGUUGGUUCAAUAUGAUGUAUAAAUGCCACAUAACCCAUCAGUAUUAUUUACUCAUCAUCUGGAGACACUGAUUUUUGUCUGUAGGUUCAGGGCACAGGCACCAUGGUCUGCAUAAUAUGAGGGGCAUCCUCUCUCUCUCGUUUGCAACACAUGAGGAACAAUUUGUAGCAAGCAGCAUGCCAGCAUUAACGUAAUACUUUUUUCACUGUCUGCAAUCUGAGAUACCUGAGAUGACUAUCUCCUGACAUUUACGAAAAGAAAGUAGUGCUUGGUAGAAAGCAGGAGACAACAUCCCAUGAGGUUUAUCAAAAUGAACUUGAUGGACAAGGUGACAUUCUUUCCUACAGAAAAGAUUUGGGGAAUUCUUUUUUAAAAUAGUGGAAUCAACAUCUGAUAUUGAAAGAUGAAUUUCCUUGUUUUCCCCUUGUCUGAAUAAUUUAAUGAUUUACAACUGAAUUCUGUCCACUUUUUUCAGAUAUUUGCGGGGAUUCUGAUCCAAAGAAGGUUGAAAAGAGUCACAAACUACCCCGGCAGCACAGUCAUUUUGAGGAAGUCCAUUUCAUUUCCGGUCUUCUAAUUUAUUCCAUCAAAGAUCAUUUCUCACUACUUAAUAAGCUAAUUUUACCUUCUACUUUCUGAAGUGGCAAGGAGUUCUCUAUAGGAAGUAGAGCGGAGAAAGUUUGUCUAAAAUUGUGGAUGGAAUUCACCUUUUCCACUCAACCAGCCACAUCACAAGAUUUUCCCCAGUUAUUUUAUCACUCAGUAGAGUUGCCAACAAGUCUGGAGGUUUUGAAAUGUUUAAUCUACAUUAUCCCAUAAUUCAAAAUCCUGAUUAUUAUUUUCUUCUGAAAACGUUAUUGAUGUAAGCUUGUACUUCUACGUAAAUAAAAGUUCAUUUACUAAGAAUUUUAGAGUUUUUCCAAGAAGUUUGCUUAGCUUCUGAAUUUCAGGACUUGAUUUGUAAUUUUUUUUGUUCUUAUAAAGGAACUUUGUUUUCAACAGCCUUUGUCAAGUAGGCUCAGAUUUUUCUCUUUUUAAAUGUAAUUGUCAACCUUUCCCGUCCUCCUUUCAAAUUCUUUGGAGAAUAUGAAACUAGAUAAACACAUUUUUGUAAAUUUAUAUCUGAAAUAAAAACGAAGAUCUAUGAAGAA
Miniopterus natalensis is the source of this 5382-nucleotide long non-coding RNA. RefSeq lists it as uncharacterized. The record is from RefSeq and is a predicted model, not a curated record. NCBI's taxonomy places the organism in Eukaryota, Metazoa, Chordata, Mammalia, Chiroptera, Miniopteridae.